Molecule: ribosomal RNA, 375 nt
Filed under: uncultured organism
Description: partial 16S ribosomal RNA
Rfam family: Bacterial small subunit ribosomal RNA
Source: RNAcentral
GUAGGUGGCAAGCGUUGUCCGGGAAUUAUUGGGGCGUAAAGCGCGCGCAGGCGGUUCUUUAAGUCUGAUGUGAAAGCCCACGGGCUCAACCGUGGAGGGUCAUUGGAAACUGGAGAACUUGAGUACAGAAGAGGAAAGCGGAAUUCCACGUGUAGCGGUGAAAUGCGUAGAGAUGUGGAGGAACACCAGUGGCGAAGGCGGCUUUCUGGUCUGUAACUGACGCUGAGGCGCGAAAGCGUGGGGAGCAAACAGGAUUAGAUACCCUGGUAGUCCACGCCGUAAACGAUGAGUGCUAAGUGUUAGGGGGUUUCCGCCCCAUAGUGCUGCAGCUAACGCAUUAAGCACUCCGCCUGGGGAGUACGGCCGCAAAGGCUG